CCUACGGGUGACAGCAGUGAGGAAUAUUGGUCAAUGGACGAGAGUCUGAACCAGCCAAGUAGCGUGAAGGAUGACUGCCCUAUGGGUUGUAAACUUCUUUUAUAAAGGAAUAAAACGAGGCACGUGUGCCUUUUUGCAUGUACUUUAUGAAUAAGGAUCGGCUAACUCCGUGCCAGCAGCCGCGGUAAUACGGAGGAUCCGAGCGUUAUCCGGAUUUAUUGGGUGUAAAGGUAGCGUAGAUGGGUUGUUAAGUCAGUUGUGAAAGUUUGCGGCUCAACCGUAAAAUUGCAAUUGAUACUGGCAGUCUUGAGUACAGUUGAGGUAGGCGGAAUUCGUGGUGUAGCGGUGAAAUGCUUAGAUAUCACGAAGAACCCCGAUUGCGAAGGCAGCUUACUAAACUGUGACUGACAUUGAUGCUCGAAAGUGUGGGUAGCAAACAGGAUUAGAUACCCUUGUAGUC
Molecule: ribosomal RNA, 460 nt
Filed under: uncultured bacterium
Lineage: Bacteria
Description: partial 16S ribosomal RNA
Rfam family: Bacterial small subunit ribosomal RNA
Source: RNAcentral